This 254-nucleotide ribosomal RNA is filed under the name uncultured bacterium. RNAcentral's name for it is "partial 16S ribosomal RNA". It matches the Rfam family "Bacterial small subunit ribosomal RNA", at positions 524 to 776 of the family's 1533-position model. The record is from RNAcentral.
UACGUAGGGUGCAAGCGUUGUCCGGAAUUAUUGGGCGUAAAGAGCUCGUAGGCGGUUGGGUAAGUCGGGUGUGAAAACUCAGGGCUCAACUCUGAGACGCCACUCGAUACUGCUCUGACUCGAGUCCGGUAGGGGAGCGUGGAAUUCCCGGUGUAGCGGUGAAAUGCGCAGAUAUCGGGAGGAACACCCGUGGCGAAGGCGGCUCUCUGGGACGGUACUGACGCUGAGACGCGAAAGCGUGGGGAGCGAACAGG